UGUGUGUUAGUGGAAGCGUCUGGAAAGGCGCGCGAUACAGGGUGACAGCCCCGUACACAAAAAUGCACAUGCUGUGAGCUCGAUGAGUAGGGCGGGACACGUGGUAUCCUGUCUGAAUAUGGGGGGACCAUCCUCCAAGGCUAAAUACUCCUGACUGACCGAUAGUGAACCAGUACCGUGAGGGAAAGGCGAAAAGAACCCCGGCGAGGGGAGUGAAAAAGAACCUGAAACCGUGUACGUACAAGCAGUGGGAGCCUCUUUUAUGGGGUGACUGCGUACCUUUUGUAUAAUGGGUCAGCGACUUAUAUUCUGUAGCAAGGUUAACCGAAUAGGGGAGCCGAAGGGAAACCGAGUCUUAACUGGGCGUUAAGUUGCAGGGUAUAGACCCGAAACCCGGUGAUCUAGCCAUGGGCAGGUUGAAGGUUGGGUAACACUAACUGGAGGACCGAACCGACUAAUGUUGAAAAAUUAGCGGAUGACUUGUGGCUGGGGGUGAAAGGCCAAUCAAACCGGGAGAUAGCUGGUUCUCCCCGAAAGCU
Molecule: ribosomal RNA, 539 nt
Filed under: Escherichia coli
Lineage: Bacteria; Pseudomonadati; Pseudomonadota; Gammaproteobacteria; Enterobacterales; Enterobacteriaceae
Description: partial 23S ribosomal RNA
Rfam family: Bacterial large subunit ribosomal RNA
Source: RNAcentral